UCCAGUCUUUGGCAACCCAGCACGUAAAUUAAUGCUACCGAGGAUGCAAUCUGGCCUGGUGCCGUCUGGUAUGCAGUGAAUACCUCUCUGGAGGGACAUAUUAUCAACACCAAUAUAUGGCUGUUUCUUCCCUCACUGGUUUCCUUUAUGGGAAAGUGCAGUGAAAAAAAUGAUUCCCUUCAAAUUAUUUACAUGUAAACCUUAUGAUUUCAGAGGGAAUAGCAAGACUGCAAUUAAAUUCAACCUUAUUAGCAUUAAACCCCAAAGCAAUCAUGUCAAAAUAGAUCUGAACGAGAACCCCCAAGAGUGAACAGAGGAGGAAAUUGUUUCCACGUCCUUAUUUCUCGCUGUUGGUUUCAGCCUCCUCCUAUGUGUCUUUGCUGACUACGUGCACAUGCUAGAGAGGCAGCAGUACUCCCACAAUCAUACCCCAGCUGACAGUACUCUCCUCCUGGAAAACUCCUCAAUAUAGGCUCUUCAGAGAUAUUUUUGGAGGAUUUAUGGAAGAAGGUUUCCAAAGGCAGUCAUUCACCGAGGCCUCUGAGAAGUCCUACUCUGCCACAGCCUUCCUGUGUGGCAGUACCCAGUCUCUAAAACCCAGUUAGCCUGAUUUCCUGAGGUGCCUUACUCCCUCUGCAACCUGGUGGAGCUACAGUUCUGCCUUGGGCCCUGUGCCACUGGGUGUUUGUGAAGCUAAGUGCGUUGAAGAACAUGAGCUGGACAGCAGCUAAGGUGCAUUUGGAAAAAUCCCACGCUGAAGUCUCAAGGAACCCAUCUGACCUCUUGAAAGAACGAGGCCAGUGGGAGGCUUUGCAGAGACCUGAAAGCUGGCUCAGCCUGUGCCUCUGGUAGGCUGCUGCAGUGAAACCUUAUCGGCAGCCUUCACGGGUCGAAUUGUGUGUGCUGGGUGUCUGCUGGCUGGGUAAGUGCCUAGAGAUCCACCCUAAAUGCCUCGCAAAGGCACCUGCUGUGAGCGAUGUUGAAAUCUUUCAAGUGCUGUAUAUCUUGUUAUACUCAAGGUUAAACUGAUUAUGAAAUUUCAGGUUAGGAACAAAUUUUCACGUUCCAAUUACGUGGUGCUGUUGGGGCUCGUCAGGUCUCCCCUGUACCUUGGUAACUUCCCAGGACCACUUGAGCAUUUCCCAU
This is a non-coding RNA of Anas platyrhynchos (mallard), 1146 nucleotides long. The record is from RefSeq and is a predicted model, not a curated record. Lineage: Eukaryota; Metazoa; Chordata; Aves; Anseriformes; Anatidae.